This 1399-nucleotide ribosomal RNA is filed under the name Microbacterium sp. FeL09. Its description in RNAcentral is "16S ribosomal RNA". It matches the Rfam family "Bacterial small subunit ribosomal RNA". The record is from RNAcentral. Lineage: Bacteria; Bacillati; Actinomycetota; Actinomycetes; Micrococcales; Microbacteriaceae.
CAUGCAAGUCGACGGUGAAGCCAAGCUUGCUUGGUGGAUCAGUGGCGAACGGGUGAGUAACACGUGAGCAACCUGCCCUGGACUCUGGGAUAAGCGCUGGAAACGGCGUCUAAUACUGGAUAUGAGACGUGAUCGCAUGGUCGUGUUUGGAAAGAUUUUUCGGUCUGGGAUGGGCUCGCGGCCUAUCAGCUUGUUGGUGAGGUAAUGGCUCACCAAGGCGUCGACGGGUAGCCGGCCUGAGAGGGUGACCGGCCACACUGGGACUGAGACACGGCCCAGACUCCUACGGGAGGCAGCAGUGGGGAAUAUUGCACAAUGGGCGGAAGCCUGAUGCAGCAACGCCGCGUGAGGGAUGACGGCCUUCGGGUUGUAAACCUCUUUUAGCAGGGAAGAAGCGAAAGUGACGGUACCUGCAGAAAAAGCGCCGGCUAACUACGUGCCAGCAGCCGCGGUAAUACGUAGGGCGCAAGCGUUAUCCGGAAUUAUUGGGCGUAAAGAGCUCGUAGGCGGUUUGUCGCGUCUGCUGUGAAAUCCCGAGGCUCAACCUCGGGCCUGCAGUGGGUACGGGCAGACUAGAGUGCGGUAGGGGAGAUUGGAAUUCCUGGUGUAGCGGUGGAAUGCGCAGAUAUCAGGAGGAACACCGAUGGCGAAGGCAGAUCUCUGGGCCGUAACUGACGCUGAGGAGCGAAAGGGUGGGGAGCAAACAGGCUUAGAUACCCUGGUAGUCCACCCCGUAAACGUUGGGAACUAGUUGUGGGGACCAUUCCACGGUUUCCGUGACGCAGCUAACGCAUUAAGUUCCCCGCCUGGGGAGUACGGCCGCAAGGCUAAAACUCAAAGGAAUUGACGGGGACCCGCACAAGCGGCGGAGCAUGCGGAUUAAUUCGAUGCAACGCGAAGAACCUUUCCAAGGCUUGACAUAUACGAGAACGGGCGAGAGAUGGUCAACUCUUUGGACACUCGUAAACAGGUGGUGCAUGGUUGUCGUCAGCUCGUGUCGUGAGAUGUUGGGUUAAGUCCCGCAACGAGCGCAACCCUCGUUCUAUGUUGCCAGCACGUAAUGGUGGGAACUCAUGGGAUACUGCCGGGGUCAACUCGGAGGAAGGUGGGGAUGACGUCAAAUCAUCAUGCCCCUUAUGUCUUGGGCUUCACGCAUGCUACAAUGGCCGGUACAAAGGGCUGCAAUACCGUGAGGUGGAGCGAAUCCCAAAAAGCCGGUCCCAGUUCGGAUUGAGGUCUGCAACUCGACCUCAUGAAGUCGGAGUCGCUAGUAAUCGCAGAUCAGCAACGCUGCGGUGAAUACGUUCCCGGGUCUUGUACACACCGCCCGUCAAGUCAUUUUUGUCGGUAACACCUGAAGCCGGUGGCCCAACCCUUGUGGAGGGAGCCGUCGAAGGUG